CAGUAGCACGGUAAUACGUAGGGUGCGAGCGUUAAUCGGAAUUAUUGGGCGUAAAGGGCGCGUAGGCGGUUUGGCAAGUUUGGUGUGAAAUCUUCGGGCUCAACUCGAAGUCUGCAUCGAAAACUGCCGGGCUUGAGUAUGGUAGAGGUGAGUGGAAUUUCCGGUGUAGCGGUGAAAUGCGUAGAUAUCGGAAGGAACACCUGUGGCGAAAGCGGCUCACUGGACCAUUACUGACGCUGAGGCGCGAAAGCUAGGGGAGCAAACAGGAUUAGAUACCCGUGUAGUCCCUGUCUCUUAUACA
RNAcentral lists this ribosomal RNA (301 nucleotides) under uncultured bacterium. RNAcentral's name for it is "partial 16S ribosomal RNA". It matches the Rfam family "Bacterial small subunit ribosomal RNA", at positions 509 to 808 of the family's 1533-position model. The record is from RNAcentral.